This 216-nucleotide non-coding RNA is filed under the name Sphingomonas sp. Lineage: Bacteria; Pseudomonadati; Pseudomonadota; Alphaproteobacteria; Sphingomonadales; Sphingomonadaceae. The record is from RNAcentral.
AAUGCCAUUCGCGUGAAGGGUUCCCGGCGACGGGAUCAAAAGGGAAGCCGGUGCGCAGGCCGGGUCGGUGCGACCCCAUCCGCAAGACCGGCGCUGUACCCGCAACUGUGACCGGAUAGCGGCCACCCCGAAGAUGCCACUGGGUUUCAGCCUGGGAAGGCGGGGUGGGUGCGGCGACCCGGAAGCCAGGAGACCUGCCUCUCACGGUCGAUCCAC